Long non-coding RNA from Micropterus salmoides (largemouth bass), 1074 nucleotides. RefSeq lists it as uncharacterized. The record is from RefSeq and is a predicted model, not a curated record. The transcript is spliced from 2 exons. Lineage: Eukaryota; Metazoa; Chordata; Actinopteri; Centrarchiformes; Centrarchidae.
UGCUGUGAAUAAGAGACCUGAGCUCGGAUUAAGACCGCCGCGGCUUGCCUGGACCCACAGCCCGAUGUGCACAUUGGGGAUCCAAGGGGCUCCUGAUGGAAGGCCUACAUGUGAAACACAACCUUAAAAUAUCACACACUUAAGACGGUGCAAGCAACAAGUAAUGCCCCGUGAGUGUACCAAAACACUCAAAAAACAUGCAAUCUGUGCUAUCCACCGUCCUGCUUGCAGGCCGUUUUAUAUGGAUAAAUUGCAGGGGCACAAACAACUGGAGUGUCUUUGAGACCACACGCUCCGCCUCUUAGUCAAUCCAGACAAAUUCUACGAGUUGUGCUGAAGCUUUUACGCUGUAAUUGAGCACAGGAUGCACAGGAAAACCAAAGCCAGCUCUACACAGACCUGCGUUUUUAUAGCUGCUAUAGUAUUCUGCUGCGCCUUUUUUUCCCCCUGACAGACAGACACCACAAAACUGGUCAAGCGUGAUAGGAAGUCGCCACCUACACGGACUCAAAGUCAGCAGCUGAGGAUUUUCAAAGACAUAGAAACAUAUCAUUUCUGUACAUAACUACGGUGACAGAAAUGUCGGCCGACAGCGAUGGCGACGACAGAGGUGCCGGGUGGACCACACAGGGACCAUGCAGGGAAACUGACCAACUCCAUGGUCAACUGGAGCACCUCUGGCAAACCGGCGGAGACUCACGAUGCUGGAUUAGCCUGCAGAGUUUAUCCUGGGAAACGAGGCGUCAGCAGGAGCAGGACAAAAGGACAUAAACUGGACUUCUUUGGAGGAAAUAAAUUACCUUUUGUAAAGUAAAAAUAGAGAUAGAAUGUGAAAGACAGAAAUAAGUCGCAAUUUGUGAUGCAGGGAUACAAACUAGGCUUUUGCAACAGGCUUAGCCUCUUAUCUUAAUUGCGCACUUGCUAUUUGUGGCCUGGGGGAUCGUAGCACAAAACAACAGUCAGAAGUUUAGAAAAUUAAUUUCCACUUUCAUUUCAGUCUUCAAAAUGUGUGCGCAUGCUCAAAAAUUGAAACAUCUAAUACAUUUAAUAAAGUCGGAUUGAGUCUGGUGAUCA